UUUUCCUUUAGUUGAUGUUCCUUUUAAUGGUGUACAAAGCACAACCUGUGCCUUGAGAGGGGAGAGCGGAAUUUCCGUACAGUGGAGAACAGCAGCCCCGUGGAGUAAGGAGCCGUAUAGUCUUGUCACUGGAUGCUCCGCACCUACCCAGCACAGUACAUGGCAAUAAGCACAUGCUCCAAAAAUAUGUCGAAUGAAUGAAUACAACUCUACUGUUGCGUCCCUGAUGAAAGGGUGCUCUUGAAGCCUCAUCUGGUUAAUGCCACCCUACAGACUGCCCACGUUGCCCUCAGGAAAAACAGAACCAGUGUACAUUCAGAUCUUGAGAGUGGUCAUCCGGAAUACAUACCCUAUGAAAAAGUAAAGAUAUUCAGGUUGAGUAAUGAUACACUCGGUUUGCAAAUAACACAUGUUCGUUUUCAUGUUGCUAAAGACUCCUUGCUAGGAAACGAAACACUUGUAAUUUAAUACGUAAUGCUCUCAGAGUCCGAAGCCAAACCACCUCAAGCUGUGAACGCCUUGGCUCGGAAGAGCCAGUCAGGGUCAGGGCAGGGCAGUACUUGGCCUGAUGCCCCUCCAGAAUAAACCAAAGAGCUACAGGAAGUGGUUUCCAUGAUUCAGUAGGUGGCACACUUCCUUUUGAGUCACAACUGAAUCACAGCUGCGAGAGGCGAAAAAGACCUAUGUCUUUAUCCCAUACUUGUCCCCUAUUCCCAAUAGUAAAUUUAUCGUAGUCUGUCAUAUGAUAUAUCCUGUUUACUUUAAUGUGUUUAACCAAAAAAGAAAGGAAAAAUAGCAAAUCAACAAUGACAAAGCAAGAAGGGAGUGGGAAACAUGGCAGAUUGAAAUGAAUCAAAGCAACGUUUCAUCAGAGGGCCGUGUUCUCCGAGGAGGUUGAAAGUAAAGCCAUAGUCUAAUUUCACUGGGGUCAUUAAGGCCCUUGGUUCUCUUGACUAGAAUCUGACCCAUUUCCAGUGGAAGCAAUUAGAUCACGGUUACAUAAACCGUGUUGCUUUAAAUGGCCCUGCUCUCCGUUUCACUCACUGACCCUGGCUUACUCCCCGGCAUGUCUGCUGGAAAGCUGUUCUCGGUGCUGUCCCAAGCGUGGCCCUCGUUCAGCUGUGGGUGAAAUGAUCCUGUUCUGAAUGUACUGAAUGCUGCUGGCAAUGCUGUAAAUUGUUUCAGGCUUAAGGAAAAACCCCACAGAUAUCAACAAGUCAUAAAAACAGGCAUAUUUUCCCCUCAUCUUUUUCCCAGCGUGUCUUUUAUUUUUCAAUAUUAAAAGUUCUGGGAAUGUGAACAUAUUUAUCCCUAUUUUCAUCGGAUGAAUCAGAUUUUACUAUGUGUUUGUUGCUUCCUUCUACUCCAAUUUGUUCCUGUUGGUUUCAUGUUUCAGAACAAAGCUUCAGAAACUCGUGCUGUAUGUCCUGUGUUUAUAUCACUCUUGGAAGACUCAUAAUCAGACUGAAAUCAGAACUCUUAUUGCCAAGUUAAUAUUCCACAGUGCCUUCUCUGCGCUAUUGCAAUAUUUAAAGAACACAAAAUUCAAAUUCACGUAGACCUGUGUUCAGAUUCAAGCUUGAGGAAAAAUUAUAGAGCUGUCUGUCUUUGGAUAAGUCUCCCAACCUCUUGGAGCCAUAAUUUACUCAGACUAUAAAAACGGGAUUCUAACCUAAGGAUAAUGUGAGAACUAAAUAAAGCUUUUAUAUGGUGCCUAAGACAGCACCUAGCUCAUAUUUAAUUUUUAAAAUAAGCUAGUACCCUUCUCUGUAUUUACAAUACCUUUCCAUCAGGAGGAAAGAACAGCACUGGGACAUGGUAACUCCGUGGGCAUGCUGUCUUGUCCUUCCCAAAGACGUCAGACCAACUCCUGUAGCACUUUCAUCAGCAGCACCUGCAGCACGUCAGACCAAAUGGCAUCCUUAGUGGAGUGGUGGAGAAGCCCAGCCAGGAAGCAGCCUUUAAAGCCCAAGCCAGCUCUUCUGGACAGGGCAGUUGUGGCUGAUAGAUGACAGCCAAAUAUGAAAGGAGUCCUCAUCUGACACACUAAGAGAGCACCUACAGGAUGGGCAGCGAAGAGAACCACCAACGGCCCUCACAGCCAGACAGAGCGGCCGUGAGGGCACAAGUCAAACAAGGUGACGGCUGGCAGACAGAUGGAACGGUGAACACACUGUUAGAUUCGAAAAGCCCUUCUAAAACAUCCAUCCUCCCAUAUCCCUUUGAUGCCUCCUACGUCCCUUCAAUUCUUCCUAGAUGGUCAUACACAGAGCAUGAUGGCUUUUUGAGAAGGGUAGUGGUACCCCGCCCCCCAAAAAAAUUAAGGUCCAGAACAUCAUCUUGUACUUACCUGUCUUAGAACCAUCACUUCGUAUAUCGUGGUUGCCUGGUUACGUGACUGUCUCUUCCACUGGACUGUGAGCCGCCAAAGGCAAGGAAUGUGUCUUGUUUAUCCUUUAACCAACUCUUACCUGUAGCUCAGUGCCGAACCCACAACAGGUGCUCCACCACUGUUUGCUGGCAUGAAAGAAAUACAAGAGUCAAGUCAGAAAGACCGUGGGAAAACUUGAAACAGGAAUUGGUGACCUCUGGGGCCAAGGUCCCAUAGGAGGACUGGCUGGAUAGUCUCAUUUCUAGUAAAAGAGCCAGAGACACUCUGCUCCCGGGAAGAUGGAGUGACUUAUUGGAUUGAUAAGUGUGGGAUGGAAAACCAGCUGUGGCCCCUCACCCCCUUAGGAGUGAGCCAGCCAGCAGAAAGCAGGUGCUCUCCUCUGCUCUGCCAUCAGGCGGUGUUAUUGAAACCAGUCUAGUCUCACCAGUACAGACUCAGCAACCGGGGCAGUAACUCGUCCCUCUACCAGAAGGAUUCCUGUUUGCUCCAAGAAUCAGCCAGGCUUUCACAAGCAAACAGCAAGACAGGUUAGCAGAUCUCUGGAUCCGUCUGGGACCCUCUCUAUCUUUCUGGAAUGGUUUCCACACCUGAUUAGAAAGUUGUGAAUAAUAUGCUUCAGAAAAAUGUAUAUACAUAGAUCUGGAACUGAGGGAAUCCUUGUUUAAAAUAUGGAAAAACAGAUGAAAUAUCGCAAACAGCCUCUUCCUGUGAGCCUCGUCUUGUGAUCACACCACACAGCUGCUUCACACUGGUGCUCGCUCGCCUCAUGGAAGAGAUGACUCAGCUUCUGUUGCAUUUUAAACAUGUCUGG
This 3203-nucleotide long non-coding RNA is filed under the name Equus asinus (donkey). Its description in RNAcentral is "lncRNA (ENSEASG00005034335.1)". The record is from RNAcentral. Lineage: Eukaryota; Metazoa; Chordata; Mammalia; Perissodactyla; Equidae.